Long non-coding RNA from Halichondria panicea, 1323 nucleotides. RefSeq lists it as uncharacterized. Lineage: Eukaryota; Metazoa; Porifera; Demospongiae; Suberitida; Halichondriidae. The record is from RefSeq and is a predicted model, not a curated record. The transcript is spliced from 2 exons.
UGUGUGUGUCUGUGUGUCUGUGUGUCUGUUCCAGCUGUAACUGCUCAACGGUUGCAAUGCGACGAAAACUAACAGCUUCUAUAGGCUUCUAGCCACGAUCUCUUGGAUUUUGAUUCGUGGAUUAGCAAACUAAAGCUUCUUUCUCGAGUUAUGGCUAGUUUGACUCACAUUGAAGGCUGUUGCAGUCUCUUCAGAAUCUUUCAUAGCAUCAUCUGUCCGCACAUACUUUCUAUUCAACAUAUGAGUUAGCCUUGCACUAAAGCGCUAGCUUUUUGUUAGCUACAAGACUCAGAAAAUAUCUGUUAAAACAGCUAGCUAGCAGUAGCCAUUGAUCUGUUUGGACACACCCUUUAUUAUUCCUGUGGAUGUAAUGCGCAUGCGCGCUCAUUCCCCACGUGUGAGAAACCAAGAUCCAGAUCCAGAUCCUCCUGGCAGAAUCAUCUUUGUCUUGAGGGCCUGGUCUGAUAUUAUAUACACUGAACUACAGAUCCUGGAAGAAUCAAUUUUCUUCUUUCUUGAGGUCCUGGUAAGCCACAUAAUACAAUAAAUAACAACAAUAGAUGCAUGUAAAUAAGUCUUUUCUUCUCAGUGACUUUAUAUAGGUAAGCUAACUUUAAUAUAAAAUUCAUUAUAGAAACUAAUAUAACACUCUAAUACUUUUGAGCGAAAGCAAAAACAUGGCGAGAGGCAUUAGCACAGCGCCAGCUUGAACACUAGUUUCCUGUUAGUGUUAAGCAGCGUUAAUUUUGCAUAAGUAAAUAAACUUUAGCUAGCUCUACUUACAUGCGUAAGUAGAGCUAGCUAAAGUUUAUUGUGCCAGCUAGACUACAGUAUACCUUCUGAGGAUGACAGAUCAGCCCAAGUAACAGCCAAGGUAUACUACUGUAACAUAGAGCUGAUGUCAAGUUUCCAAGACAAGCAAGGCAAAGCAAAGACAGUGCCCAGGAACUGAAGAAAGCCCCUGAGAAACUCUCUCCUGGUGGGAUUUACCGACACUGACGAUCCAUCAAGAGAUAGUUAACAUACAUAUAUUGGAUAUGAUGAUGAGUAGAGUAAUUAUGAAUGGAGAGAAUAGCUGGUAGACUUGAUGGACUGGAUGAAAGUCCGAACAGUGACACUUGACACCUGAUUAAAGACUUAGUUUAUUCUCUUUUUCAUUGUAUUUUGAGUUAGGAACCAAGAUUAAAGUAUAAUCUGGUCUGCAGAAGAAAGGUACAGAUGCUAACUUGAAUCUAUGCUACCUUGUUUGCUAAUUACACUGCAGUACUUUUAUUAUUUAUUAUGAAGAGGAAAUGACAAAUAUGACAAGUUAUGACACGAAAA